UAGCCAUGCAUGUCUAAGUAUAAGCAAUUAUACCGUGAAACUGCGAAUGGCUCAUUAAAUCAGUUAUCGUUUAUUUGAUAGUACCUUACCACUUGGAUAACCGUGGUAAUUCUAGAGCUAAUACAUGCUAAAAACCCCGACUUCGGAAGGGGUGUGUUUAUUAGAUAAAAAACCAAUGCCCUUCGGGGCUCUUUGGUGAUUCAUGAUAACCUAACGGAUCGCAUGGCCUUGCGCCGGCGACGGUUCAUUCAAAUUUCUGCCCUAUCAACUUUCGAUGGUAAGGUAUUGGCUUACCAUGGUUUCAACGGGUAACGGGGAAUUAGGGUUCGAUUCCGGAGAGGGAGCCUGAGAAACGGCUACCACAUCCAAGGAAGGCAGCAGGCGCGCAAAUUACCCAAUCCCGACACGGGGAGGUAGUGACAAUAAAUACUGAUACAGGGCUCUUUAGGGUCUUGUAAUUGGAAUGAGUACAAUUUAAACCCCUUAACGAGGAACAAUUGGAGGGCAAGUCUGGUGCCAGCAGCCGCGGUAAUUCCAGCUCCAAUAGCGUAUAUUAAAGUUGUUGCAGUUAAAAAGCUCGUAGUUGAAACUUGGGUCUGGCUAGCGGGUCCGCCUCACCGCGUGCACUUGUCCGGCUGGACCUUUCCUUCUGGAGAACCUCAUGCCCUUCACUGGGUGUGUUGGGGAACCAGGACUUUUACUUUGAAAAAAUUAGAGUGUUCAAAGCAGGCCUUUGCUCGAAUACGUUAGCAUGGAAUAAUAGAAUAGGACGUGCGGUCCUAUUUUGUUGGUUUCUAGGAUCGCCGUAAUGAUUAAUAGGGAUAGUCGGGGGCAUCAGUAUUCAAUUGUCAGAGGUGAAAUUCUUGGAUUUAUUGAAGACUAACUACUGCGAAAGCAUUUGCCAAGGAUGUUUUCAUUAAUCAGUGAACGAAAGUUAGGGGAUCGAAGACGAUCAGAUACCGUCGUAGUCUUAACCGUAAACUAUGCCGACUAGGGAUCGGGCGAUGUUUCUAUCUUGACUCGCUCGGCACCUUACGAGAAAUCAAAGUUUUUGGGU
This 1057-nucleotide ribosomal RNA is filed under the name Marjia tianschanica. Its description in RNAcentral is "SSU rRNA". It matches the Rfam family "Eukaryotic small subunit ribosomal RNA", at positions 46 to 1112 of the family's 1831-position model. Lineage: Eukaryota; Fungi; Ascomycota; Dothideomycetes; Pleosporales; Melanommataceae. The record is from RNAcentral.